This 253-nucleotide ribosomal RNA is filed under the name uncultured bacterium. RNAcentral describes it as "partial 16S ribosomal RNA". It matches the Rfam family "Bacterial small subunit ribosomal RNA", at positions 524 to 776 of the family's 1533-position model. The record is from RNAcentral.
UACGUGGGGGGCAAGCGUUGUUCGGAAUUAUUGGGCGUAAAGGGCGCGUAGGCGGUGCGGUAAGUCACCUGUGAAACCUCUAGGCUCAACCUAGAGCCUGCAGGCGAAACUGCCGUGCUUGAGGGUGGGAGAGGUGCGUGGAAUUCCCGGUGUAGUGGUGAAAUGCGUAGAUAUCGGGAGGAACACCAGUGGCGAAGGCGACUUCCUGGCCUGUUCUUGACGCUGAGGCGCGAAAGCUAGGGUAGCAAACGGG